ACCCGCACAAGCGGUGGAUGAUGUGGUUUAAUUCGAUGCAACGCGAAAAACCUUACCCACCUUUGACAUGUACGGAAUCCUUUAGAGAUAGAGGAGUGCUCGAAAGAGAGCCGUAACACAGGUGCUGCAUGGCUGUCGUCAGCUCGUGUCGUGAGAUGUUGGGUUAAGUCCCGCAACGAGCGCAACCCUUGUCAUUAGUUGCUACGAAAGGGCACUCUAAUGAGACUGCCGGUGACAAACCGGAGGAAGGUGGGGAUGACGUCAAGUCCUCAUGGCCCUUAUAGGUGGGGCUACACACGUCAUACGAUGGCUGGUACAAAGGGUUGCCAACCCGCGAGGGGGAGCCAAUCCCAUAAAGCCAGUCGUAGUCCGGAUCGCAGUCUGCAACUCGACUGCGUGAAGUCGGAAUCGCUAGUAAUCGUGGAUCAGAAUGUCCACGGUCGAAUACGUUCCCGGGCCUU
RNAcentral lists this ribosomal RNA (461 nucleotides) under uncultured Comamonas sp. RNAcentral's name for it is "bacterial SSU rRNA". It matches the Rfam family "Bacterial small subunit ribosomal RNA", at positions 919 to 1382 of the family's 1533-position model. Lineage: Bacteria; Pseudomonadati; Pseudomonadota; Betaproteobacteria; Burkholderiales; Comamonadaceae. The record is from RNAcentral.